UACGUAGGUGGCGAGCGUUAUCCGGAAUGAUUGGGCGUAAAGGGUGCGUAGGCGGCCUGCUAAGUCUGGAGUGAAAGGUACCGGCUCAACCGGUACAGGCUCUGGAAACUGGGAGACUUGAGUGCAGAAGAGGAGAGUGGAACUCCAUGUGUAGCGGUGAAAUGCGUAGAUAUAUGGAAGAACACCAGUGGCGAAAGCGGCUCUCUGGUCUGUAACUGACGCUGAGGUUCGAAAGCGUGGGUAGCAAACAGG
RNAcentral lists this ribosomal RNA (252 nucleotides) under uncultured bacterium. Its description in RNAcentral is "partial 16S ribosomal RNA". It matches the Rfam family "Bacterial small subunit ribosomal RNA", at positions 524 to 776 of the family's 1533-position model. RNAcentral also lists the same sequence under 1 other name. The record is from RNAcentral.